This is a long non-coding RNA of Panthera uncia (snow leopard), 278 nucleotides long. RefSeq lists it as uncharacterized. The transcript is spliced from 3 exons. Lineage: Eukaryota; Metazoa; Chordata; Mammalia; Carnivora; Felidae. The record is from RefSeq and is a predicted model, not a curated record.
CAGAUUUCUCUCUCUGGACCUUGAACGUCUCCGUUCUUCAGGACUGUCCAGCGUAUCCUGGGACGUAUGCCUUUGUCCUUCGCCGUGUCUACUGUGAAUCUGGAGGUCUCGUUCCUCAGGUGUUCUGAUCUGUGAUGUCUCUAAGUCCCCAGGCGUGUCUGCAUUGAUUACAGUGACCCUUGAAUGCACCAGGCUCUCCCCAGGUCCCCAGAUGUGUCUACCCUGAUACGUGAUGUCCCCUGAGUUCCCCUGUUUCUAUUUUGAUGUGGAAUGUCUAC